Molecule: long non-coding RNA, 217 nt
Filed under: Brachypodium distachyon (stiff brome)
Lineage: Eukaryota; Viridiplantae; Streptophyta; Magnoliopsida; Poales; Poaceae
Description: long non-coding RNA (BDIS_LNC000741)
Source: RNAcentral
UUUGUUAGGAAAGUUAGAGAUAGAGUUGGAUUUCGGACUCCUUAUUCAAAGUGGACGAAAAUAUCUCUCCCUCCUCCUUUAUAUACCCCAUGAGCCCCCCUAAGGAGCCUUGGGUUUUGUUUAGUUAAAAGUUAGCCAUCGCUACUACUUCGUGUAAUCGCGUGUGUCGGUUAGACCACCUGUUUUACCGCUUUCGGAACCCCAACUUAUCGUCUCG